This 29-nucleotide non-coding RNA is filed under the name Mus musculus (house mouse). Lineage: Eukaryota; Metazoa; Chordata; Mammalia; Rodentia; Muridae. The record is from RNAcentral.
UGCUAUGUAGUCCAGGCUAACCUGGAACU